This 497-nucleotide ribosomal RNA is filed under the name uncultured bacterium. RNAcentral describes it as "partial 16S ribosomal RNA". It matches the Rfam family "Bacterial small subunit ribosomal RNA", at positions 28 to 507 of the family's 1533-position model. The record is from RNAcentral.
GAUGAACGCUGGCGGCGUGCCUAAUACAUGCAAGUCGAGCGAACGGACGAGAAGCUUGCUUCUCUGAUGUUAGCGGCGGACGGGUGAGUAACACGUGGAUAACCUACCUAUAAGACUGGGAUAACUUCGGGAAACCGGAGCUAAUACCGGAUAAUAUUUUGAACCGCAUGGUUCAAAAGUGAAAGACGGUCUUGCUGUCACUUAUAGAUGGAUCCGCGCUGCAUUAGCUAGUUGGUAAGGUAACGGCUUACCAAGGCAACGAUGCAUAGCCGACCUGAGAGGGCGAUCGGCCACACUGGAACUGAGACACGGUCCAGACUCCUACGGGAGGCAGCAGUAGGGAAUCUUCCGCAAUGGGCGAAAGCCUGACGGAGCGACGCCGCGUGAGUGAUGAAGGUCUUCGGAUCGUAAAACUCUGUUAUUAGGGAAGAACAUAUGUGUAAGUAACUGUGCACAUCUUGACGGUACCUAAUCAGAAAGCCACGGCUAACUACGUG